GGUUAAGCGACUAAGCGUACACGGUGGAUGCCUAGGCAGUCAGAGGCGAUGAAGGGCGUGCUAAUCUGCGAAAAGCGUCGGUAAGCUGAUAUGAAGCGUUAUAACCGACGAUACCCGAAUGGGGAAACCCAGUGCAAUACGUUGCACUAUCGUUAGAUGAAUACAUAGUCUAACGAGGCGAACCGGGGGAACUGAAACAUCUAAGUACCCCGAGGAAAAGAAAUCAACCGAGAUUCCCCCAGUAGCGGCGAGCGAACGGGGAGGAGCCCAGAGUCUGAAUCAGUUUGUGUGUUAGUGGAAGCGUCUGGAAAGUCGCACGGUACAGGGUGAUAGUCCCGUACACCAAAAUGCACAGGCUGUGAACUCGAUGAGUAGGGCGGGACACGUGACAUCCUGUCUGAAUAUGGGGGGACCAUCCUCCAAGGCUAAAUACUCCUGACUGACCGAUAGUGAACCAGUACCGUGAGGGAAAGGCGAAAAGAACCCCGGCGAGGGGAGUGAAAUAGAACCUGAAACCGUGUACGUACAAGCAGUGGGAGCACCUUCGUGGUGUGACUGCGUACCUUUUGUAUAAUGGGUCAGCGACUUAUAUUUUGUAGCAAGGUUAACCGAAUAGGGGAGCCGUAGGGAAACCGAGUCUUAACUGGGCGUCUAGUUGCAAGGUAUAGACCCGAAACCCGGUGAUCUAGCCAUGGGCAGGUUGAAGGUUGGGUAACACUAACUGGAGGACCGAACCGACUAAUGUUGAAAAAUUAGCGGAUGACUUGUGGCUGGGGGUGAAAGGCCAAUCAAACCGGGAGAUAGCUGGUUCUCCCCGAAAGCUAUUUAGGUAGCGCCUCGUGAACUCAUCUUCGGGGGUAGAGCACUGUUUCGGCUAGGGGGCCAUCCCGGCUUACCAAACCGAUGCAAACUCCGAAUACCGAAGAAUGUUAUCACGGGAGACACACGGCGGGUGCUAACGUCCGUCGUGAAGAGGGAAACAACCCAGACCGCCAGCUAAGGUCCCAAAGUCAUGGUUAAGUGGGAAACGAUGUGGGAAGGCACAGACAGCCAGGAUGUUGGCUUAGAAGCAGCCAUCAUUUAAAGAAAGCGUAAUAGCUCACUGGUCGAGUCGGCCUGCGCGGAAGAUGUAACGGGGCUAAACCAUGCACCGAAGCUGCGGCAGCGACACUUAGGUGUUGUUGGGUAGGGGAGCGUUCUGUAAGCCGUUGAAGGUGACCUGUGAGGGUUGCUGGAGGUAUCAGAAGUGCGAAUGCUGACAUAAGUAACGAUAAUGCGGGUGAAAAACCCGCACGCCGGAAGACCAAGGGUUCCUGUCCAACGUUAAUCGGGGCAGGGUGAGUCGACCCCUAAGGCGAGGCUGAAAAGCGUAGUCGAUGGGAAACAGGUUAAUAUUCCUGUACUUGGUGUUACUGCGAAGGGGGGACGGAGAAGGCUAGGCUGGCCGGGCGACGGUUGUCCCGGUUUAAGCGUGUAGGGGGAGUGACCAGGUAAAUCCGGUUGCUUAUCAACCCUGAGGCGUGAUGACGAUGCACCACGGUGCAGAAGCAGUUGAUGCCAUGCUUCCAGGAAAAGCCUCUAAGCAUCAGGUAACAUUAAAUCGUACCCCAAACCGACACAGGUGGUCAGGUAGAGAAUACUCAGGCGCUUGAGAGAACUCGGGUGAAGGAACUAGGCAAAAUGGUGCCGUAACUUCGGGAGAAGGCACGCUGGCGUUAGGUGAAAGGACUAGCUCCUGGAGCUGAAGCCAGUCGCAGAUACCAGCUGGCUGCAACUGUUUAAUAAAAACACAGCACUGUGCAAACACGAAAGUGGACGUAUACGGUGUGACGCCUGCCCGGUGCUGGAAGGUUAAUUGAUGGGGUCAGCCGCAAGGCGAAGCUCUUGAUCGAAGCCCCAGUAAACGGCGGCCGUAACUAUAACGGUCCUAAGGUAGCGAAAUUCCUUGUCGGGUAAGUUCCGACCUGCACGAAUGGCGUAAUGAUGGCCAGGCUGUCUCCACCCGAGACUCAGUGAAAUUGAACUCGCUGUGAAGAUGCAGUGUACCCGCGGCAAGACGGAAAGACCCCGUGAACCUUUACUAUAGCUUGACACUGAACAUUGAGCCUUGAUGUGUAGGAUAGGUGGGAGGCCUUGAAGUGUGGACGCCAGUCUGCAUGGAGCCAACCUUGAAAUACCACCCUUUAAUGUUUGAUGUUCUAACUCGGCCCCAUGAUCUGGGGUGAGGACAGUGUCUGGUGGGUAGUUUGACUGGGGCGGUCUCCUCCCAAAGAGUAACGGAGGAGCACGAAGGUUAGCUAAUCACGGUCGGACAUCGUGAGGUUAGUGCAAAGGCAUAAGCUAGCUUGACUGCGAGAGUGACGGCUCGAGCAGGUACGAAAGUAGGUCUUAGUGAUCCGGUGGUUCUGAAUGGAAGGGCCAUCGCUCAACGGAUAAAAGGUACUCCGGGGAUAACAGGCUGAUACCGCCCAAGAGUUCAUAUCGACGGCGGUGUUUGGCACCUCGAUGUCGGCUCAUCACAUCCUGGGGCUGAAGUAGGUCCCAAGGGUAUGGCUGUUCGCCAUUUAAAGUGGUACGCGAGCUGGGUUUAGAACGUCGUGAGACAGUUCGGUCCCUAUCUGCCGUGGGCGUUGGAAGAUUGAGAGGGGCUGCUCCUAGUACGAGAGGACCGGAGUGGACGAAUCACUGGUGUUCGGGUUGUCAUGCCAAUGGCAUUGCCCGGUAGCUAAAUUCGGAAGAGAUAACCGCUGAAAGCAUCUAAGCGGGAAACUUGCCUCGAGAUGAGUCUUCCCUGGGGCUUAAAGCCCCCUGAAGGAACGUUAAAGACUAUGACGUUGAUAGGCUGGGUGUGUAAGUGCAGCGAUGUAUUGAGCUAACCAGUACUAAUGAUCCGUGAGGCUUAACCUUACAACACC
RNAcentral lists this ribosomal RNA (2915 nucleotides) under Yersinia pestis A1122. Its description in RNAcentral is "bacterial LSU rRNA". It matches the Rfam family "Bacterial large subunit ribosomal RNA". The record is from RNAcentral. Lineage: Bacteria; Pseudomonadati; Pseudomonadota; Gammaproteobacteria; Enterobacterales; Yersiniaceae.